CGUGGAGCGAUUUGUCUGGUUAAUUCCGAUAACGAACGAGACUCUAGCCUACUAAAUAGUGAGUAGAUCGUUUCGUCUACUACGCUUCUUAGAGGGACAAACGGCGCUUAGCCGUACGAAAUUGAGCAAUAACAGGUCUGUGAUGCCCUUAGAUGUCCGGGGCUGCACGCGCGCUACACUGAAGGAAUCAGCGUGCAUACUAACCUUGUCCGAAAGGACUGGGUAACCCGAUGAAACUCCUUCGUGAUUGGGAUAGGGACUUGCAAUUAUUUCCCUUGAACGAGGAAUUCCCAGUAAGUGCGGGUCAUAAGCUCGCGUUGAAUACGUCCCUGCCCUUUGUAC
RNAcentral lists this ribosomal RNA (342 nucleotides) under Nematoda environmental sample. RNAcentral's name for it is "SSU rRNA". It matches the Rfam family "Eukaryotic small subunit ribosomal RNA", at positions 1300 to 1665 of the family's 1831-position model. Lineage: Eukaryota; Metazoa; Nematoda. The record is from RNAcentral.